UACGUAGGUGGCAAGCGUUGUCCGGAUUUACUGGGCGUAAAGGGCGUGCAGGCGGUUUGUUAAGUGCAGGGUGAAAGCUCCCGGCUCAACUGGGAGAGGUCCUUGCAUACUGGCAGACUUGAGGGAGGCAGAGGAAAGUGGAAUUCCCGGUGUAGUGGUGAUAUGCGUAGAUAUCGGGAGGAACACCGGUGGCGAAGGCGGCCCACUGGUCCGGUACUGACGCUGAGGUGCGAAAGCGUGGGGAGCAAACAGG
RNAcentral lists this ribosomal RNA (253 nucleotides) under uncultured bacterium. Its description in RNAcentral is "partial 16S ribosomal RNA". It matches the Rfam family "Bacterial small subunit ribosomal RNA", at positions 524 to 776 of the family's 1533-position model. The record is from RNAcentral.